Molecule: long non-coding RNA, 562 nt
Organism: Anthonomus grandis grandis
Lineage: Eukaryota; Metazoa; Arthropoda; Insecta; Coleoptera; Curculionidae
Exons: 3
Source: RefSeq, a predicted model, not a curated record
GUAGCCAGACUUUAUUAAAAAAAUCAGCUCUACCUCAAAGGAUUUCUGAUGCACUGGUUAAAAACACAGCAGUCAAUAAUUCAGUUAAUUUACCAAGUGAUUUACCCUUCAAAGCUACAGGGGUAGCUUUCCUGAAGAGUGCAAAAACUUCUUUAGCUUUCAAAAUGGUAUAUAGUACAAACAGUGAAGUUAAUAUACUUACUUACUUACCUAUAGACACGUAUGGAUAAUUAAAAUAGAUUAAUAUUCUUGAUACACCAAAUUUUGUAUAAUUACAGAUCUGAUCAUUCAUCAUCAACAAUAACUGCAUCUGAGAAUUAUAGUUCUACAGUAACCGUGGAGUCUAGGUCAACAAUUACUAUUUCUCAUCCAAGCCGUUUUUGUUUAACUGCUACACAUUCCCUGACUCUGCCAAGGAAAAGGGUAAAAUCAAAAUGAUAUCCUGAGGACCUAAGCACUGAUGAUUCCACCGUUUCAAGAGCUUAAUCACUUGUCACCAGAUUAUGGAAAAAAAAAAAGAACAAAAAAUUAAAAUUCGAAGAUUGCAUCAAGCAAAUUAGCG